ACUUAAGUAUUAAAUUAGCUUUGGAUCAAAAACAAAAAUAAAUAAAUUAAAAAGACAAUAGAAGUUUUCGCUGCGUGCGAUUGUUUCAAUACUCACGAAUUGCAAGCAGCCGAUAUAUCGAUAGUAGUAUUAAUCGACACGACCGGCAAAUGCACUUGUUAAGCGCGUUCAAAAGCAAAUUUAGUUUGUUUAAUUAAAAAUAGUCGUAACUGCAGCCUGGAAAGCACAUAAAGCACAAUGCAGGAGUUUUUCAGAGUGCUGAUGCCGGACGUAAAGAAGGAGCUACGCCGCGGCAUCAUCGAGUGCUCAAAACGCGGCUUGCUGCACAGCACCAAAUGGCUAGCAGAGAUGCACCACGGCUUGAGUGAUGUGAACAUCGACAAUGCGGCACCGGAUGAUGAUCAUUCGUUUAGCGAAUGCCAGCUGGAGGGCAUUACGCCAGCUGAGUAUAGCGAUUAUUUCCUAGCCAAGAGCUACUACGAUGUGCGUGAAUAUGAUCGGGCAGCGCACGCUGUCCGGAACUGCGAAUCCAGUGUGCCACGAUUUCUUCACCUUUACUCUACGUACAUGGCACGCGAGAAGCGACGUCUCGACUCCACCACCGAUCAAGCGAAUCUCAACGAGCCAAAUCAAAUGCGCGACUUGGCAGAUCUCUUGGCCACGUUACGCGCUGAACAUGGACGCGGUCGCUUAGAUGGUUAUGGAAUGUAUCUAUAUGGCGUUGUACUCAAAGCUUUAAACCUUAAUAAAGCAGCUGAGCAAAUGCUUGUAACCGCUGUGCGGAUGGUGCCAAUGCUGUGGAGCGCCUACCUGGAACUAUCACCCCUCAUUAUGGAAAAAAAGAAGUUGCUGAGCAUGCAACUGGGCGGUCAUUGGAUGCGUCAUUUCUUCAUGGCACACACGUACUUGGAGCUGUACUUGAAUGAUGAUGGACUGAAGAUCUAUGAGGACCUGCAGGCUGCCGGCUUUAGCAAGAGCAUCUAUAUAACCGCACAAAUGGCACACGUCUAUCACAAUAAGAGGGAUGUGGAUAAGGCUAUUGAGCUGUUCCAGGCGCUGUUUGAGAGCGAUCCUUAUCGCUUGGACAACGUUGAUACAUACUCAAAUUUAUUGUUUGUCAAGGAAAUGAAAACGGAAAUGGCCCAACUGGCGCACAAGGCUGUUAGCAUUAACAAAUACCGGCCCGAGACAUGUUGUGUUAUAGGCAAUUACUACAGCAUACGCUGUGAUCACCAUGUGGCCAUUUCCUAUUUCCAGCGCGCUUUAAAACUGAAUCCGAAGUAUUUAGCAGCCUGGACGCUGAUGGGUCAUGAAUUUAUGGAACUGAAGAAUACAAAUGCAGCCAUACAAAGUUAUCGCAAAGCUGUGGAGGUCAACAAGCGUGAUUAUCGUGCUUGGUAUGGCUUAGGUCAGGCCUACGAGAUCAUUAAGAUGCAUUAUUAUAGUUUGUAUUAUUUUAAAAUUGCCCAUCAAUUGCGUCCGUAUGACUCACGCAUGCUUGUUGCAUUGGGCGAAACAUACGAGAAGCUGGACAAGUGUGAAAAUUCGGUGAAAUGCUAUUGGAAGGCCUGCGAUGUGGGCGACAUCGAGGGCAUAGCCAUGUAUAAGCUGGCCAGCCUGCACGAGAAACUGGGUGACAACGAGACGGCCGUUCAUUGUUAUAUUAUGUACUGCGAAGACGAGCGCGCUGCCACCGACAAGCAGAGCCUCUAUCAGGGCUUCAUGACUCUGGCCAACUACUACGAGAAGAAGUGUGACUAUGAGCGUGCUGCCUACUAUGCUUACAAGUGUCUGGACUCCGAUGAUCGCAAAACGGAAGCUAAAGCGCUCCUAAAAACAAUCGAUUAUCGACGCAGCGCUGAAUGCCAGAAGAAAAAAUCCACAGCAACGGUGGUGGCUACGGCAGAGACCAGUUCCGAGGACGAAAUGGAAUGGGAGCAGCUCGAUGUACGUGCCCGCGUACCAUUUACCUCUAUAGCCGAUACGAGCAAAACAACGUCUACGGCAACGGCAACCGCAACAGGAAGCUCCAGUGGCAGCUCAGCCACAGGUGCAUCUACCUCAGCCGGCGCGAGAAGAUUACGUGCGGUGCCGGAGCGUGUGCGUCGAACGCAGCCCAAUCAGCGAACCCUGACGGGACCCACAGCAAAUAGCACAGCGACAACACCAGCGGCGGCAACAACAAUACCCACAAUAAGUGAGGAGACGCCAGGAGGUAGUUCAGCAACAACAGCAACGGAAACGGAGACACUUGAGGAUUCAACGCCGGCGACAGCAACAGCUGAGCAGCAGGCGGCACACGAUAGCAGCGCAAUGGAAAUUUCUAGCGUGUCCAUCGAUUAGAUAGGAUAUGUUUUAAAUUAGAGAAAUUCUACUGUGGGUUUACAAAUUGAAGUUUUUUAAGAUGAAGAGUGAGUGAGGCAUGAACCUAUUAAAACUAUUCGGAGUAGCAAGUGGAGUAUA
Drosophila mojavensis is the source of this 2463-nucleotide RNA transcript. It is a transcript of the gene named cell division cycle protein 23 homolog, with no coding region annotated. The transcript is spliced from 5 exons. The record is from RefSeq and is a predicted model, not a curated record. NCBI's taxonomy places the organism in Eukaryota, Metazoa, Arthropoda, Insecta, Diptera, Drosophilidae.